AGGGUUUGAUCCUGGCUCAGAAUCAACGCUGGCGGCGUGCCUAACACAUGCAAGUCGAACGCGAAAGGGGCUUCGGUCCUGAGUAGAGUGGCGAACGGGUGAGUAACACGUGGGUGAUCUACCUUCGAGUGGGGGAUAACGUCCCGAAAGGGACGCUAAUACCGCAUGACGUUCCGGGUUUAAAGACCUGGAAACCAAAGCCGGGGACCGCAAGGCCUGGCGCUUGGAGAGGAGCCCGCGUCCGAUUAGCUAGUUGGCGGGGUAACGGCCCACCAAGGCGACGAUCGGUAGCCGGCCUGAGAGGGCGGACGGCCACACUGGAACUGAGACACGGUCCAGACUCCUACGGGAGGCAGCAGUGGGGAAUUGUUCACAAUGGGCGCAAGCCUGAUGACGCAACGCCGCGUGGGGGAUGAAGGUCUUCGGAUCGUAAACCCCUGUCGAAUGGGACGAAAGACUCGGGAGCUAAUCAUCUCGAGAGUGACGGUACCGUUAAAGGAAGCCACGGCUAACUCUGUGCCAGCAGCCGCGGUAAUACAGAGGUGGCAAGCGUUGUUCGGAAUUACUGGGCGUAAAGGGCGCGUAGGCGGCCAUCUAAGUCAGACGUGAAAUCCCCCGGCUUAACCUGGGAACUGCGUCUGAUACUGGACGGCUUGAGUAUGGGAGAGGGAUGUAGAAUUCCAGGUGUAGCGGUGAAAUGCGUAGAUAUCUGGAGGAAUACCGGUGGCGAAGGCGGCAUCCUGGACCAUUACUGACGCUGAGGCGCGAAAGCUAGGGGAGCAAACGGGAUUAGAUACCCCGGUAGUCCUAGCCCUAAAC
Molecule: ribosomal RNA, 819 nt
Filed under: uncultured Acidobacteriota bacterium
Lineage: Bacteria; Pseudomonadati; Acidobacteriota
Description: bacterial SSU rRNA
Rfam family: Bacterial small subunit ribosomal RNA
Source: RNAcentral